AAUGAGGUUAUGUUCAUGUGCACCGAGGU
RNAcentral lists this small RNA (29 nucleotides) under Bombyx mori (domestic silkworm). RNAcentral describes it as "ovarian small RNA-10822". Lineage: Eukaryota; Metazoa; Arthropoda; Insecta; Lepidoptera; Bombycidae. The record is from RNAcentral.